RNAcentral lists this unclassified non-coding RNA (295 nucleotides) under uncultured fungus. RNAcentral's name for it is "sequence contains ITS1". The stretch from base 1 to 105 matches the Rfam family "5.8S ribosomal RNA", at positions 50 to 154 of the family's 154-position model. The record is from RNAcentral. Lineage: Eukaryota; Fungi.
GAAAUGCGAUACUUGGUGUGAAUUGCAGAAUCCGCGAGUCAUCAGAUUUUCGAACGCAACCGGCGUUGUGGGUUAAUUACCUGCAGCAAGUUUGCUUCAGUCUUAUUGAUUAUUACACAUCAAAAUGCGAUUGAACUCCGGUUCUCUCGUUAAACGUGAAUACGACGUAUUCCAACCCAGUGAAGCAGUCACGUUCUCGUGAUUUCGCUGGCUCUUGGACUAUGGACAGUAUCGAGACGCUAGUCUUUCACGAUAAUCAAAGCUGAAGUCAAGCUAGACUACCCGCUGAACUUAA